CGGGAGCGGAUCGCGAGGAACCGGAAGUGCUAAAGUCUCUGAGGCCAAGGCCGGUGCUACUGCCGCCGCUGCUUCUGAGUGCCGCGUUCGCCGCCUGUGUUGUCACCGGCGCCGCCGCUGAGGAAGCCACUGCAACCAAGACUGGAGUGGAGGCGCCGCAGCAUGAAGCGGCGCAGGCCCGCUCCAUAGCGCACGUCGGGACGGUCCGGGCGGGGCCGGGGGGGAAGGAAAAUGCAACAUGGCAGCAGCAAUGGAAACAGAACAGCUGGGUGUUGAGAUAUUUGAAACUGCAGACUGUGAGGAGAAUAUUGAAUCACAGGAUCGGCCUAAAUUGGAGCCGUUUUAUGUUGAGCGGUAUUCCUGGAGUCAGCUUAAAAAGCUGCUUGCUGAUACCAGAAAAUAUCAUGGCUACAUGAUGGCUAAGGCACCACAUGAUUUCAUGUUUGUGAAGAGGAAUGAUCCAGAUGGGCCUCAUUCAGACAGAAUCUAUUACCUUGCCAUGUCUGGUGAGAACAGAGAAAAUACACUGUUUUAUUCUGAAAUUCCCAAAACUAUCAAUAGAGCAGCAGUCCUAAUGCUCUCUUGGAAGCCUCUUUUGGAUCUUUUUCAGGCAACACUGGACUAUGGAAUGUAUUCUCGAGAAGAAGAACUAUUAAGAGAAAGAAAACGCAUUGGAACAGUUGGAAUUGCUUCUUACGAUUAUCACCAAGAAAGUGGAACAUUUCUGUUUCAAGCUGGUAGUGGAAUUUAUCACAUAAAAGAUGGAGGGCCACAAGGAUUCACGCAACAACCUUUAAGGCCCAAUUUAGUGGAAACUAGUUGUCCCAACAUACGGAUGGAUCCAAAAUUAUGCCCUGCUGAUCCAGACUGGAUUGCUUUUAUACAUAGCAAUGAUAUUUGGAUAUCUAACAUCGUAACCAGAGAAGAAAGGAGACUCACUUAUGUGCACAAUGAGCUAGCCAACAUGGAAGAAGAUGCCAGAUCAGCUGGAGUCGCUACCUUUGUUCUCCAAGAAGAAUUUGAUAGAUAUUCUGGCUAUUGGUGGUGUCCAAAAGCUGAAACAACUCCCAGUGGUGGUAAAAUUCUUAGAAUUCUAUAUGAAGAAAAUGAUGAAUCUGAGGUGGAAAUUAUUCAUGUUACAUCCCCUAUGCUGGAAACAAGGAGGGCAGAUUCAUUCCGUUAUCCUAAAACAGGUACAGCAAAUCCUAAAGUCACUUUUAAGAUGUCAGAAAUAAUGAUUGAUGCCGAAGGAAGGAUUAUGGAUGUCAUAGAUAAGGAACUAAUUCAACCUUUUGAGAUUCUAUUUGAAGGAGUUGAAUAUAUUGCCAGAGCUGGAUGGACUCCCGAGGGAAAAUAUGCUUGGUCCAUCCUACUAGAUCGCUCCCAAACUCGCCUGCAAAUAGUGUUGAUCUCACCUGAAUUAUUUAUCCCAGUAGAAGAUGAUGUUAUGGAAAGGCAGAGACUCAUUGAGUCAGUGCCUGACUCUGUGACGCCACUAAUUAUCUAUGAAGAAACAACAGACAUCUGGAUAAAUAUCCAUGACAUCUUUCAUGUUUUUCCCCAAAGUCACGAAGAGGAAAUUGAGUUUAUUUUUGCCUCUGAAUGCAAAACAGGUUUCCGUCAUUUAUACAAAAUUACGUCUAUUUUAAAGGAAAGCAAAUAUAAACGAUCCAGUGGUGGGCUGCCUGCUCCAAGUGAUUUCAAGUGUCCUAUCAAAGAGGAGAUAGCAAUUACCAGUGGUGAAUGGGAAGUUCUUGGCCGGCAUGGAUCUAAUAUCCAAGUUGAUGAAGUCAGAAGGCUGGUAUAUUUUGAAGGUACCAAAGACUCCCCUUUAGAGCAUCAUCUGUACGUAGUCAGUUACGUAAAUCCUGGAGAGGUGACAAGGCUAACUGACCGUGGCUAUUCACAUUCUUGCUGCAUCAGUCAGCAUUGUGACUUCUUUAUAAGUAAGUAUAGUAACCAGAAGAAUCCACACUGUGUGUCCCUUUACAAGCUAUCAAGUCCUGAAGAUGAUCCAGCUUGCAAAACAAAGGAAUUUUGGGCCACCAUUUUGGAUUCAGCAGGUCCUCUUCCUGACUAUACCCCUCCAGAAAUUUUCUCUUUUGAAAGUACUACUGGAUUUACAUUGUAUGGGAUGUUGUACAAGCCUCAUGAUCUACAGCCUGGAAAGAAAUAUCCAACUGUGCUGUUCAUAUAUGGUGGUCCUCAGGUGCAGUUGGUGAAUAAUCGAUUUAAAGGAGUCAAGUAUUUCCGCUUGAAUACCCUAGCCUCUCUAGGUUAUGUGGUUGUAGUAAUAGACAACAGGGGAUCCUGUCACCGAGGGCUUAAAUUUGAAGGCGCCUUUAAAUACAAAAUGGAAGCUUUAAAUGCUACCUUUUAGAGAUGCCCCAUGUCCUUUCUGCUGCUUUGGGAAAUGAUGAGAAUCCGAUGUUCCUUUUGCACAGUAAGGCAGUUACUGUGUUUGCCAGUGUUAUUGGACAUGCUGAGUAAGACAUGGGGAUUUUCUCCCACAGCCAGUUCUUUGACCUUAUGUUGUAUUCUCAUGGUCAAAUAGAAAUUGAUGAUCAGGUGGAAGGACUCCAAUAUCUAGCUUCUCGAUAUGAUUUCAUUGACUUAGAUCGUGUGGGCAUCCACGGCUGGUCCUAUGGAGGAUACCUCUCCCUGAUGGCAUUAAUGCAGAGGUCAGAUAUCUUCAGGGUUGCUAUUGCUGGGGCCCCAGUCACUCUGUGGAUCUUCUAUGAUACAGGAUACACGGAACGUUAUAUGGGUCACCCUGACCAGAAUGAACAGGGCUAUUACUUAGGAUCUGUGGCCAUGCAAGCAGAAAAGUUCCCCUCUGAACCAAAUCGUUUACUGCUCUUACAUGGGUUCCUGGAUGAGAAUGUCCAUUUUGCACAUACCAGUAUAUUACUGAGUUUUUUAGUGAGGGCUGGAAAGCCAUAUGAUUUACAGAUCUAUCCUCAGGAGAGACACAGCAUAAGAGUUCCUGAAUCUGGAGAACAUUAUGAACUGCAUCUUUUGCACUACCUUCAGGAAAACCUUGGAUCACGUAUUGCUGCUCUAAAAGUGAUAUAAUUUUGACCUGUAUAGAACUCUCUGGUAUACACUGGCUAUUUAACCAAAUGAGGAGGUUUAAUCAAUAGAAAACACAGAAUUGAUCAUCACACUUUGAUACCUGCCACGUAACAUCUACUCCUGAAAAUAAAUGUGGUGCCAUGCAGGGGUCUACAGUUUGUGGUAGUAAUCUAAUACCUUAACCCCACAUGCUCAAAAUCAGAUGAUACAUAUUCCUGAGAGACCCAGCAAUACCAUGAGAAUUACUUUAAAAAAAAAAAAAAGCAUUAACACCAUGUAUUCAUACUACCCUAUUUUCACUUUUAAUAGUAUUAUAAACUUCAUGAACUUAAUUAGUGUAUUUUUACAGUAUACUUUCGAAUUUGUUAAAAUAUGAUAUUAGUGAUUGGUUUGGUUCAGUUCCAGAAUCUCUGACUAGUUACAGAUUUGAUAGCACUUAAAUGUAAUUGAAUAGCUUAUGCUUCAUUGCUUGGGCAUAUCCAGCAUGUUAUGAACUAAUAACCAUUAAACUUGACUUAACCAGUCAUUCAUUAUUGAUUUUUCAAGGAUAACUUAGUGGCCUCCUAAAGACACUUGUUUUGGCACUGACCAGUUUUUAGCCAAUUUAAUCUGUAUCUAGUAUAAAUAAUACUCAUUUUUCUUUGAUGAUAUUAACAGAGUGGGCUUUUCCUUUUGCAUAAAGGCUAGUAACUGUAUAUGUAGCAUGGAUUUAAUUAGUCAUGAUACUGAUAAUUACAGGCAGAAAAUUUUUAAUCAAAUGAUUAGAGCUUAAAUAUUUGCAGGCAAGUUUUGUUUUUUGUUUUUUUUUUUUUCCUUUAAGAAAAGGAAAAAGUACACAUUCACUAGAAUUCUUCAGAAAAUUUAGUGGUGCCAGUUUCCAUUUGGAAUUUCCUUAUUAAAAUAUUCUAGAAUUUUAAGGAGAUUGAAGGGAGUCACAGUGGGGUGGAGAGUCCUGGGUUUGGGAAAUGACAGAGAGAAGAGGUGGUGAGGGCCUGAUUAAAAACUAAGCAGAAGUAGUUUUAACAAAAAGACUCAGGAAAAUGUUUGGAAACUGAAAUUUAAACAACUAGAAUAUUAAGGAAACCAGAAUCAAUAAAUCACUGUCUUGCCAGCACAGCUACAGAGUAACAUGAUUCAGGGGAGGAAGAGUUCCUUAGAGUUACUUUUAUAAUUCUUUUUUUUUUUUUUUUUUCCCUCUUAGGUUUAGAAAUCCUACACAUUUAAACUUUAUCCUUUUAAAAUUAUUUGAACAUAAUUUAGAUAUUGUAAGCUUAAAAUACAAAUGUUUACAGAUAACCUCUUUACCAUAAACUAAUCCCUGGCAACCCAUGGCUCUCUUUUUUUUUUGGUGUUUAAAGCCUAUAAACAGGUUUCUUGAAUGAUCAUGAACUUUUCUUGGUUUAGCACUAGGAUUUAGCUAUGAAGAGAGCUCAUAGGCUUUCAGGUGCUAAUUGAGAUCUGCCCUGUUAGAGUCUUGGGGUGCUAGAUCGGUCACGUUGACACCAGUGGCAGGGAAGGCAUCUAUGAGUUUGAUCGCACACUUCAGUGUUUAGAAAGUUAUUACCAAUACUUUUAAACAACACUCCAAGAAAACUUGCUAUAUUUCUUUCUCAUCACUACAGAGAGAGUAGAUUUCCCCAUAGAGAGCACAGCCUUCAUUAGUAAGGUUGGUGACUACUGGUAAGAGGUGGACUUCAUUGACACCAAGUGGGAGGUAGGGAAAGCCCAGAAAUGGCAGGAUGACAUGGUGGUUCUGUCGUUGGGAAAGGUAUUGGGUUUUGCUGUUUGUGUUUAUACUGUAUAAUAGAUACCACACUUUUUCUUAUUAUCUGUAUAUGUAUUGCUUUUCAUGUUUGAUAUUUUCCCAUGCCAAAAUUUGUUUAUAUAUAUUUUCAAUGUUAAAUUAAAUUGAUUUGGGUAACUUUCUUCCCCAAGAAAGUAUUUUUCCCCUUUAAGUAUAUAUCUGACUGUGGAGGGUGUUUUGUUUUGUUUCGUUUGGACUAACUGGCCUCAAAGGAUCUAUCCUUAUACGCAAUAUAAACUAGAAAUGGUAUACAGUAGCUUUUAAGCAGCUACUCCAUUGAAACCUUUCACCCAUUAAGGCUGUUUCUUCAAAAUGGCAUCUUUUAUUUUGCUGAAACAAACUUAGAAAACUUCAUGUACUCUUGAAUUCACCGGUGUUUUCCUUUUGCAUGUUGCCUUCUCCUUUCCUCCUAUCACAAAGAAUGUUUCUAUUAUCACUCCCACUUAAAUGCCAUUCUGCUGCUUUAGCGGGAAAAAAAUACCUGAAUGAAUUCACUUGCAGAAAGACAGUUUGACUGAAUUUGCUUUUUACAACCAGUGUGGAAAAUAUCGUAGUCAAUUGAGGCAAUCAGUAGAAAUCUAACUAAAAGUUUGUACCCCAUGAGUAUGGGUAACAGCUUAAACGGCAAGAAUAUAUAAAAGUAGCAACAGUUUAGUGGGAGCCAAAAAGCACUAGGUUACAUAAUAUCAUACUGUGUUUUUAAAGACUUGAUAAAUGUGUACACUUGAACAACCAUCAAGAGGGAUAGUUACUUGAGCAUUUUAGAGUAGUGGAACUCAAAAUCUAAGAUUCGUCUGGGAUACUUACUAAAAGAAAUGUAGAGUUUUGAAUCUCACUCUUAAAAGUAUGUAUUCCCAGGCUAGGCAUGGUGGCUCACACCUGUAAUCCUAGCACUUUGGGAGACAAAGGCGGGUGAAUCACUUGAAGUCAGGAGAUCAAGACCACCUUGGUCAACAUGGUGAAACCCCGUCUCUACUAGAAAUACAAAAAAAUUAGCCGGGCAUGAUGGCGUGUGCCUAUAAUCCUGAACCUACUCGGGAGGCUGAGGCAGGAGAAUCGCUUGAACCUAGGAGGCAGAAGUUGCAGUGAGCUGAGAUGGCGCCACUGUAGUCCAGUCUGGGCGACAGACUAUGCCUCAAAAUAAAUAAAUAAAUAAAAAUUUGUAUUCCAUUGAUUUGGGUAGACACCAGGAAUGUGCAUUUCUAACAAGCUUUCCAGGCGAUCCUACAGUAAGUCAUCUAUGGACUACUUUAAGAAACUCUUCUAUAGAGAAUGGAGUUGGAUUAAUAAUAGGUGAUUUUUUACACUGGACUGAUUCACAAGAACCUAAACAGUAGUCCAUGAAGCUGCUCAUCUGUGGUAACUGUUUGGCCCUUCUCACUCUGAAAGCAGCAGGAGAUGUUUACUUUGUUUCUAUCCCGUUUGUCUGGAGAUUAAUUUUGGAAUAAAAGUUUUUCUCUUUAUGCCAUUCCUGGUUCUUUUCCAAAGCCUCAUACAAGAAGAUUAGGUCACAAUGCAUGCAUUACCUUUUUAAAAAAUGCAAUGUUGAUACCGAUGCUUACUUUUUUUUUUUUUUUUUUUUUUACUACUUGUUUUAUUCCUUCCAGAUAGUAUAGCCGGCCUUUCUAUAGCAUAGUUCUCUUCAGGUGGAAUGAUUCCUGUAAGAUUUCUCAUUAUUAAAUCAUGCAUUUUCCAAGAUGGAAUCAAUCUUUGAUUUAAUCUAAUCUAAUAUUCUCAUUUGUUAGAAGAACAACCUACAUGCUAGAGAGAGAGGAGGAAAUAUACCCGUGACCACAGCCAGUUAGUAGCCAGUUGGUGCUGGACUCCAGCCAGGUGUCCUGCCUCAUGGUAGUUAAAUGAUAUAUAGAAAAGGUAAAUUUUUAAAGAAAUAUUUAUUAAUAUAUUCAUAUAAAACAUUUUAAAGGUAACCACAUAAAAAAUGGUUAAUUUUUCCAUUCCAAAGUAAAUGCUAAGCAUGCUUAUUAAUGAAGCAGUACUUCUAAUUAGUAUAUGACAUUCUGAAGUUAAUUAAACUCAUUGCACUAAAUGUGUCUUCCUUGGUAUAGUGGGGGAUUUGAGGAUUGGAAUAUAGAGUAGAGUGCUUGCUUACACCAGGGAGCCCAUCUUAUAGCUAUUUGAUGUAAGAAAAGAGACAUGGCCAUUUCUAAACUAUAUAAGGUGAGUGUCUAUUCCCAUCAGAUAUAAAGGAGAAAGAAAACUUUUUUGACUCCCACCUUCCCACCCUCACCUAUCCAUCUUCCAGCCUCAAAUAUGGAGAUGUUAGUGCAAGGUGCUGGACUCUAGGUAAUCAUUUCGUAAGUCCUUUACAGGUAAAGAAAAAGUAGUGUUUGUAUGUUUGUUUUUAAGUAACCCCAAAACAAAUUUAUGUUGUAUUCAGCAAAAUUGGAGUUCAGGUGUUUAAUUUUAGAACAUAAAGUGCCUGCUGUUUUAAGCAUUGACUUGUAUAAAAAGAAUUGCAUGUCUCACUCCAGUAAGCUUAUGGGUUUUCUCAUUUUUAGGUAUAUGGCUUUUAAUCAUGUAAAGUGAAACAUUAGUUUUGUUGCAUUUUAUUACAGGUUCUUUGUUGCAAUAAAGAUGCUGCUGAAAUUAA
Piliocolobus tephrosceles (Ugandan red Colobus) is the source of this 7490-nucleotide RNA transcript. It is a transcript of the gene named dipeptidyl peptidase 8, with no coding region annotated. The transcript has 21 exons. The record is from RefSeq and is a predicted model, not a curated record. NCBI's taxonomy places the organism in Eukaryota, Metazoa, Chordata, Mammalia, Primates, Cercopithecidae.